This 626-nucleotide ribosomal RNA is filed under the name uncultured bacterium. RNAcentral describes it as "bacterial SSU rRNA". It matches the Rfam family "Bacterial small subunit ribosomal RNA", at positions 62 to 701 of the family's 1533-position model. The record is from RNAcentral.
UCGAACGAGAGAUGAGGAGCUUGCUCUUCAAAUCGAGUGGCGAACGGGUGAGUAACGCGUGAGGAACCUGCCUCAAAGAGGGGGACAACAGUUGGAAACGACUGCUAAUACCGCAUAAGCCCACAGCUCGGCAUCGAGCAGAGGGAAAAGGAGUAAUCCGCUUUGAGAUGGCCUCGCGUCCGAUUAGCUAGUUGGUGAGGUAAUGGCCCACCAAGGCGACGAUCGGUAGCCGGACUGAGAGGUUGAACGGCCACAUUGGGACUGAGACACGGCCCAGACUCCUAUGGGAGGCAGCAGUGGGGAAUAUUGCACAAUGGGGGAAACCCUGAUGCAGCGACGCCGCGUGGAGGAAGAAGGUCUUCGGAUUGUAAACUCCUGUUGUUGAGGAAGAUAAUGACGGUACUCAACAAGGAAGUGACGGCUAACUACGUGCCAGCAGCCGCGGUAAAACGUAGGUCACAAGCGUUGUCCGGAAUUACUGGGUGUAAAGGGAGCGCAGGCGGGAGAACAAGUUGGAAGUGAAAUCCAUGGGCUCAACCCAUGAACUGCUUUCAAAACUGUUUUUCUUGAGUAGUGCAGAGGUAGGCGGAAUUCCCGGUGUAGCGGUGGAAUGCGUAGAUAUCGGG